Molecule: ribosomal RNA, 810 nt
Filed under: Triticum aestivum (bread wheat)
Lineage: Eukaryota; Viridiplantae; Streptophyta; Magnoliopsida; Poales; Poaceae
Description: partial small subunit ribosomal RNA
Source: RNAcentral
AUGACCACCGCGCCGUUCGUCUCCCCAUCGCUCCCCCGACUACACUCCGCGCGGGCCUCUCCGUUCCCCAAACCCUCCGUUGGGUCCGGGGGUGGGGUCGCGUUCCCCGCCCGGACGUACGGGUCAUCGCUUCGCCUGAGGUCUGCCGUCAUGUCUGCCAGCGGCGUCGGGGGGAACGGCUCUCCGAUGGCGCCUGAGGAGUCCACAGUGUCUUCUAGGUUGGGGGAGGUCAAGCGGGUAACCAAGGAAACAAAUGUGCAUGUCAAGAUCAACCUGGACGGCACUGGUGUUGCAAACUCCAGCACAGGGAUACCGUUCUUGGAUCACAUGCUUGAUCAACUGGCAUCUCAUGGACUGUUUGAUGUAUACGUGAAGGCGACGGGUGACACACACAUUGAUGAUCAUCACUCAAAUGAGGAUAUUGCUUUAGCAAUUGGAACGGCAUUACUUCAAGCACUUGGUGACCGAAAAGGAAUUAACCGGUUUGGGCAUUUUACAGCACCACUUGAUGAGGCAGCAGUUGAGGUUAUACUGGAUCUAUCUGGUCGACCUCAUUUGAGCUGCGGCUUAAGCAUUCCUACCGAAAGAGUUGGCACAUAUGACACACAGCUAGUUGAGCAUUUCUUCCAGUCCCUUGUGAAUACAUCUGGCAUGACGCUUCACAUCCGUCAGCUUGCGGGAAACAACUCACACCAUAUUAUCGAGGCAACUUUCAAAGCAUUUGCCAGGGCGCUUCGACAAGCAACGGAAUAUGACUUACGCCGCCAGGGCACUAUCCCAAGCUCAAAAGGUGUUCUGUCAAGGUCUUAG